This 114-nucleotide small nucleolar RNA is filed under the name Nannospalax galili (Upper Galilee mountains blind mole rat). RNAcentral's name for it is "Small nucleolar RNA SNORA29 (ENSNGAG00000006506.1)". It matches the Rfam family "Small nucleolar RNA SNORA29", at positions 32 to 140 of the family's 140-position model. Rfam says of the family: ACA29 is a member of the H/ACA class of snoRNA that guide the sites of modification of uridines to pseudouridines. The record is from RNAcentral. Lineage: Eukaryota; Metazoa; Chordata; Mammalia; Rodentia; Spalacidae.
AUACUUAUUUUAGUGGCUAUGCUUAGGGGAUAGAUUAAAGGUGCCAUGAUCUGAAGAGAGAAAAAAGGCUUCUCAGUGUUCUUCCUCCAUAUUAAAAUGACUCAACAGAAAUCA